GAUGAACGCUCGCUACAGGCUUAACACAUGCAAGUCGAGGGGCAGCAUGACCUAGCAAUAGGUUGAUGGCGACCGGCGCACGGGUGAGUAACACGUAUCCAACCUGCCGAUUAUUCCGGGAUAGCCUUUCGAAAGAAAGAUUAAUACUGGAUAGCAUAACGAGAAGGCAUCUUCUUGUUAUUAAAGAAUUUCGAUAAUCGAUGGGGAUGCGUUCCAUUAGUUUGUUGGCGGGGUAACGGCCCACCAAGACAUCGAUGGAUAGGGGUUCUGAGAGGAAGGUCCCCCACAUUGGAACUGAGACACGGUCCAAACUCCUACGGGAGGCAGCAGUGAGGAAUAUUGGUCAAUGGACGAGAGUCUGAACCAGCCAAGUAGCGUGAAGGAUGACUGCCCUAUGGGUUGUAAACUUCUUUUAUAUGGGAAUAAAGUGGGCCACGUGUGGCUUUUUGUAUGUACCAUACGAAUAAGGAUCGGCUAACUCCGUG
RNAcentral lists this ribosomal RNA (485 nucleotides) under uncultured bacterium. RNAcentral describes it as "partial 16S ribosomal RNA". It matches the Rfam family "Bacterial small subunit ribosomal RNA", at positions 28 to 507 of the family's 1533-position model. The record is from RNAcentral.